Molecule: ribosomal RNA, 382 nt
Filed under: Providencia sp. MGL16
Lineage: Bacteria; Pseudomonadati; Pseudomonadota; Gammaproteobacteria; Enterobacterales; Morganellaceae
Also listed under: 1 other name
Description: bacterial SSU rRNA
Rfam family: Bacterial small subunit ribosomal RNA
Source: RNAcentral
AACGCGAAGAACCUUACCUACUCUUGACAUCCAGAGAAUUUAGCAGAGAUGCUUUGGUGCCUUCGGGAACUUUGAGACAGGUGCUGCAUGGCUGUCGUCAGCUCGUGUUGUGAAAUGUUGGGUUAAGUCCCGCAACGAGCGCAACCCUUAUCCUUUGUUGCCAGCGAUUCGGUCGGGAACUCAAAGGAGACUGCCGGUGAUAAACCGGAGGAAGGUGGGGAUGACGUCAAGUCAUCAUGGCCCUUACGAGUAGGGCUACACACGUGCUACAAUGGCGUAUACAAAGAGAAGCGACCUCGCGAGAGCAAGCGGAACUCAUAAAGUUCGUCGUAGUCCGGAUUGGAGUCUGCAACUCGACUCCAUGAAGUCGGAAUCGCUAGUA